UACAUGUGUGCAUUUCGGACAUUGCCUUGCUUAUGCAUUUGUGAAAUGAUGGUUGUUGAUCCAAUGAAUCUGAAUUUUUGCAUGAUGAAACUAGACAUUUUGCUUGACAUUUUGGUGUUGAGUGUGCAUUUUUAUCAUUUAUCAUUUCUGGUUUGUGAUUUUUCUAAGUAGGUGUGACAAUUUGUGUCACACCUUUGGAUGUUCAUCUUGUGCUAUGUGUUUACCCUAUCAAAUGAUGCUUAAUUGUUCUGAUUUUUUGCAUGCUGAUC
RNAcentral lists this long non-coding RNA (269 nucleotides) under Lathyrus oleraceus (garden pea). RNAcentral describes it as "Pisum sativum (pea) long non-coding RNA (PSAT_LNC040717)". The record is from RNAcentral. Lineage: Eukaryota; Viridiplantae; Streptophyta; Magnoliopsida; Fabales; Fabaceae.